CUGAAAGGGUUGCUAAUACCGCAUGUGGUCAAGAGAGAUUAGAAGCUUUUGAUUAAAGGAGAAAUCCACUUUGGGAGGGGCCUGCGUCCCAUCAGCUAGUUGGUAGGGUAAAAGCCUACCAAGGCGAUGACGGGUAGGGGACCUGAGAGGGUGACCCCCCACAAUGGAACUGAAACACGGUCCAUACACCUACGGGUGGCAGCAGUAGGGAAUAUUGCACCAUGGGCGAAAGCCUGAUGCAGCAACGCCGCGUGAGUGAAGAAGGCCCUCGGGUCGUAAAACUCUUUUCAAGAGGAAGAGGAAGGACGGUACUCUUGGAAUAAGCCUCGGCUAACUACGUGCCAGCAGCCGCGGUAACACGUAGGAGGCGAGCGUUAUUCGGAUUUACUGGGCGUAAAGCGCGUGUAGGCGGCUGAUCAAGUUGGAUGUGAAAGCUCCCGGCUUAACUGGGAGAGGACGUUCAAAACUGAUCAGCUUGAGUACGAGAGAGGAAAAUGGAAUUCCGGGUGUAGUGGUGAAAUGCGUAGAUAUCCGGAGGAACACCAGUGGCGAAGGCGAUUUUCUGGCUCGAGACUGACGCUCAGGCGCGAAAGCUAGGGUAGCAAACGGGAUUAGAGACCCCGGUAGUCCUAGCUGUAAACGAUGUAGACUAGGCGUUGGUGGAGUAAAAUCCAUCAGUGCCGGAGCAAACGCGAUAAGUCUACCGCCUGGGGACUACGGCCGCAAGGUUAAAACUCAAAGGAAUUGACGGGGCCCCGCACAAGCAGCGGAGCGUGUGGUUUAAUUCGAUGCUACACGAA
This 800-nucleotide ribosomal RNA is filed under the name uncultured bacterium. RNAcentral describes it as "bacterial SSU rRNA". It matches the Rfam family "Bacterial small subunit ribosomal RNA", at positions 151 to 965 of the family's 1533-position model. The record is from RNAcentral.